ACCAGACUCCUACGGGAGGCAGCAGUGGGGGAUAUUGCACAAUGGGGGGAACCCUGAUGCAGCGACGCCGCGUGGGUGAAGAAGCGCCUCGGCGCGUAAAGCCCUGUCAGCAGGGAAGAAAAUGACGGUACCUGAAGAAGAAGCCCCGGCUAACUACGCGCCAGCAGCCGCGGUAAUACGUAGGGAGCGAGCGUUGUCCGGAAUUACUGGGUGUAAAGGGAGCGUAGGCGGGGAUGCAAGUUGGAUGUUUAAACUAUCGGCUCAACCGGUAAUUGCAACCAAAACUGCAACUCUUGAGUGAAGUAGAGGCAGGCGGAAUUCCUAGUGUAGCGGUGAAAUGCGUAGAUAUUAGGAGGAACACCAGUGGCGAAGGCGGCCUGCUGGGCUUUAACUGACGCUGAGGCUCGAAAGUGUGGGGAGCAAACAGGAUUAGAUACCCCUGUA
This 444-nucleotide ribosomal RNA is filed under the name uncultured bacterium. RNAcentral's name for it is "bacterial SSU rRNA". It matches the Rfam family "Bacterial small subunit ribosomal RNA", at positions 330 to 792 of the family's 1533-position model. The record is from RNAcentral.